AUGCGGGACGGGGAGGUACAUGGGGCUGGGGUCGCGCCUGACCCCGGGAGGACGCCUGACGGGGAGGUACAGGGAGCUGGGGUCGCGCCGGACCCCGGCAGGACGCCUGACGGGGAGGUUCCGUGGGCCGGGGUCGCGCCGGACCCCGGGAGGACGCCUGACGGGGAGGUACAGGGAGCUGGGGUCGCGCCGGACCCCGGCAGGACGCCCGACGGGGAGGUUCCAAGGGCCGGGGUCGCGCCUGACCCCGGGAGGACGCCUGACGGGGAGGUACAGGGAGCUGGGGUCGCGCCUGACCCCGGGAGGAUGCGGGACGAGGAGGUACAUGGGGCUGGGGUCGCGCCUGACCCCGGGAGGACGCCUGACGGGGAGGUACAGGGAGCUGGGGUCGCGCCGGACCCCGGCAGGACGCCCGACGGGGAGGUUCCAAGGGCCGGGGUCGCGCCGGACCCCGGGAGGACGCCUGACGGGGAGGUACAGGGAGCUGGGGUCGCGCCUGACCCCGGGAGGAUGCGGGACGGGGAGGUACAUGGGGCUGGGGUCGCGCCUGACCCCGGGAGGACGCCUGACGGGGAGGUACAGGGAGCUGGGGUCGCGCCGGACCCCGGGAGGACGCCUGACGGGGAGGUACAGGGAGCUGGGGUCGCGCCUGACCCCGGCAGGACGCCCGACGGGGAGGUUCCAAGGGCCGGGGUCGCGCCGGACCCCGGGAGGACGCCUGACGGGGAGGUACAGGGAGCUGGGGUCGCGCCUGACCCCGGGAGGAUGCGGGACGGGGAGGUAAAUGGGGCUGGGGUCGCGCCUGACCCCGGGAGGACGCCUGACGGGGAGGUACAGGGAGCUGGGGUCGCGCCGGACCCCGGCAGGACGCCCGACGGGGAGGUUCCGUGGGCCGGGGUCGCGCCGGACCCCGGGAGGACGCCUGACGGGGAGGUACAGGGAGCUGGGGUCGCGCCGGACCCCGGCAGGACGCCCGACGGGGAGGUUCCAAGGGCCGGGGUCGCGCCUGACCCCGGGAGGACGCCUGACGGGGAGGUACAGGGAGCUGGGGUCGCGCCUGACCCCGGGAGGAUGCGGGACGGGGAGGUACAUGGGGCUGGGGUCGCGCCCGACCCCGGGAGGACGCCUGACGGGGAGGUACAGGGAGCUGGGGUCGCGCCGGACCCCGGCAGGACGCCCGACGGGGAGGUUCCGUGGGCCGGGGUCGCGCCGGACCCCGGGAGGACGCCUGACAGGGAGGUACAGGGAGCUGGGGUCGCGCCGGACCCCGGCAGGACGCCCGACGGGGAGGUUCCAAGGGCCGGGGUCGCGCCUGACCCCGGGAGGACGCCUGACGGGGAGGUACAGGGAGCUGGGGUCGCGCCUGACCCCGGGAGGAUGCGGGACGGGGAGGUACAUGGGGCUGGGGUCGCGCCUGACCCCGGGAGGACGCCUGACGGGGAGGGUACAGGGAGCUGGGGUCGCGCCUGA
Molecule: long non-coding RNA, 1470 nt
Filed under: Betta splendens (Siamese fighting fish)
Lineage: Eukaryota; Metazoa; Chordata; Actinopteri; Anabantiformes; Osphronemidae
Description: lncRNA (ENSBSLG00000008728.1)
Source: RNAcentral